UGAAUACGAGAUGCUACGGCGUCGAAGCAGUCUAUGUCAUACUUCCAAGAAAAGCUUGCACUGUCAUAAACAAAUAAUGCCUGUACCAUAACCGACACAGGUGGGUAGGUAGAGUAUACUAAGGGGCGCGAGAUAACUCUCUCUAAGGAACUCGGCAAAAUGACUCCGUAACUUCGGGAGAAGGUGUGCCUUAUUUAUAAGGUUGCAAUAACAAGGUCCAAGCAACUGUUUACCAAAAACACAGGUCUCCGCUAAGUCGUAAGACGAUGUAUGGGGGCUGACGCCUGCCCAGUGCCAGAAGGUUAAAGAAGUUGGUUAGCAUCCGCGAAGCUGAUAACUGAAGCCCUGGUGAACGGCGGCCGUAACAAUAACGGUCCUAAGGUAGCGAAAUUCCUUGUCGGGUAAGUUCCGACCCGCACGAAAGGCGUAAUGAUUUGGAUACUGUCUCGGAGAGGGGCUCGGUGAAAUAGACUUGUCUGUGAAGAUGCGGACUACCUGCACCAGGACAGAAAGACCCUAUGAAGCUUUACUGUAACCUGAAAUUGAAAUUGGACUUUACUUGCGCAGUAUAGGUGGGAGGCGUUGAGAAUAUUCUUGCGGGAUUAUUGGAGCCAUCAGUGAGAUACCACUCUUGUAAUGUUAGAUUUCUAACUUUGUAUCAUUAUCUGGUCAAAGAACAGUUUCAGGCGGGCAGUUUGACUGGGGCGGUCGCCUCCUAAACGGUAACGGAGGCGCACAAAGGUUUCCUCUGAACGGGUAGAAAUCGUAUCUAGAGUGUAAAGGCAUAAGGAAGCUUGACUGUGAGACCUACAAGUCGAGCAGGGACGAAAGUCGGUCUUAGUGAUCUGACGGUGCUGAGUGGAAAGGCCGUCACUCAACGGAUAAAAGUUACUCUAGGAUAACAGGCUGAUCUCCCCCAAGAGUUCACAUCGACGGGGAGGUUUGGCACCUCGAUGUCGGCUCAUCGCAUCCUGGGGCGGUAGUACGUCCCAAGGGUUGGGCUGUUCGCCCAUGAAAGCGGUACGCGAGCUGGGUUCAGAACGUCGUGAGACAGUUCGGUCCAUAUCCGGUGUAGGCGUUAGAAUAUUGAGAGGAGCCUUCUUUAGUACGAGAGGACCGAGAAGGACAUACCUCUGGUGUACCAGUUAUCGUGCCAACGGUAAACGCUGGGUAGCUAUGUGUGGAGUGGAUAACCGCUGAAAGCAUCUAAGUGGGAAGCCCACCUCAAGAUAAG
RNAcentral lists this ribosomal RNA (1234 nucleotides) under metagenome. RNAcentral's name for it is "bacterial LSU rRNA". It matches the Rfam family "Bacterial large subunit ribosomal RNA", at positions 1564 to 2808 of the family's 2925-position model. The record is from RNAcentral.